This 298-nucleotide signal recognition particle RNA is filed under the name Prolemur simus (greater bamboo lemur). RNAcentral describes it as "Metazoan signal recognition particle RNA (ENSPSMG00000011188.1)". It matches the Rfam family "Metazoan signal recognition particle RNA". Rfam says of the family: The signal recognition particle (SRP) is a universally conserved ribonucleoprotein. It is involved in the co-translational targeting of proteins to membranes. The record is from RNAcentral. Lineage: Eukaryota; Metazoa; Chordata; Mammalia; Primates; Lemuridae.
GCUGGACUCAGUGACACAUGCCUAUAGUUCCAGCUACUCAGGAGGCUGAGGUGGGAGGAUCUCUUGAGCCCAGGAGUUCUGGGCUGUAGUGCGCUAUGCCGAUUGGGUGUCUACACUAAGUUUGGUAUCAAUAUCAUGACCUCCCUGGAGCAGGGGCCACCAGGUUGCAUAAGGAGGGAUGAACCAGCCCAGGUCUGAAAUGGAGCAGGUCAAAACUCCCGGGCUGAUCAGUAGUGGGAUCGUGCCUGUGAAUAGCCACUGCACUCCACCCUGGGCAACAUAGUGAGAUCCUGUCUCU